UACGGAGGGAGCUAGCGUUGUUCGGAAUUACUGGGCGUAAAGCGCACAUAGGCGGCUUUUUAAGUCAGAGGUGAAAUCCCGGGGCUCAACCCCGGAACUGCCUUUGAAACUGAAGAGCUAGAAUCUUGGAGAGGCGAGUGGAAUUCCGAGUGUAGAGGUGAAAUUCGUAUAUAUUCGGAAGAACACCAGUGGCGAAGGCGACUCGCUGGACAAGUACUGACGCUGAGGUGCGAAAGCGUGGGGAGCAAACAGG
This 253-nucleotide ribosomal RNA is filed under the name uncultured bacterium. RNAcentral's name for it is "partial 16S ribosomal RNA". It matches the Rfam family "Bacterial small subunit ribosomal RNA", at positions 524 to 776 of the family's 1533-position model. The record is from RNAcentral.